Molecule: ribosomal RNA, 135 nt
Filed under: uncultured bacterium
Lineage: Bacteria
Description: partial 16S ribosomal RNA
Rfam family: Bacterial small subunit ribosomal RNA
Source: RNAcentral
UGGGGAAUCUUAGACAAUGGGGGAAACCCUGAUCUAGCCAUGCCGCGUGAGCGAUGAAGGCCUUAGGGUUGUAAAGCUCUUUCAGAUGGGAAGAUAAUGACGGUACCAUCAGAAGAAGCCCCGGCUAACUCCGUG